AUGCAUUGUUCUAUCUGUCAAAUGGACAUACGCAACCGCAGCGAUGAAGCAUACUUAGCCUGGUUGAAAGAGGUGCGUAGGGUGGCACAUGGGAUGGAGGAUAUGGUGGAUCAGUACUUGUAUCUAGUUGGUCAGGAACAUGACACAACAGGGUGCUUCUUUUACCUGAAGAAAGGGUUCAAAAAACCAAAAUCUAUGUUUUCUUUGAGCACCAUAGCAUCCAAGGUGAAGGAAAUAGAGAGAGACCUGACACACCUAUCUCAAACAAAAGACCGAUGGGUUCCCAUGACGAACAGUGGGGACUCCAGGUACAUUGUCCAGAUGUCCCAAGAACUGGCAAGCAAUUCACUUUCUCUUGGUGAAGAAGGUCUUGUUGGCAAUGAAGAUAACAAGCAAAAACUUGUACAGUGGUUGGAAGAUGAUGAAUUGGCACGGUCUAUAAUAGUUCUGCAUGGCAUGGGAGGGCUCGGGAAAACCGUCCUCGCAGCAACUGUCUAUAAGAAAGAGCGAGAGAAAUAUAAUUGCCAUGCAUGGGUCUCCAUCUCACAAACUUACACCAAAGAGGAUGUUCUUAGGAGAUUGAUCAUUGAUCUUAUGGGCAAAGAGAAUGUUCCUGCUGCGUUCGCCACCAUGGAUUUCGCAGCCAUUCAAGAGACACUGAAGAGGCACUUGGAACAGAAGAAAUAUCUCAUUAUAUUUGAUGAUGUUUGGACUCCAGAAGCAUACACUGAUCUAUUUGGAGCACUCACUGAAAAUCGCAAUGGGAGCAGAAUAAUAAUCACGACACGAAAUUCUGAUGUAGCUCACCUUGCUACUCCAAAUAGGAUACUCGUAUUGGAGCCCUUGUCAAAGGAUGAGUCAUGGGUACUCUUUUGUAAGAAGGCUUUUCCAAAUCAUAAAUGUCCUCCAGAAUUGAAGACUUUGUCAGAACAGAUAUUGUGGAAGUGUGAAGGCUUACCUCUUGCGAUUGUCUCUGUUGGCAGUCUCUUGUUUGUGCGUGACAAGACUAUGGAUGAAUGGAGGCGGAUAAAUAAUCAGCUCAGCUGGGAGCUAAUUAAUAAUCCGAUGCUUGAUCAUGUAAGGAAUAUUUUGCAUCUGAGCUUCAUCUACCUUCCACCAUAUUUGAAGAGCUGUUUCCUAUUCUGCAGCUUAUUUCCAGAGGACUAUCUUCUCAAAAGGAAAAGCUUGAUCCGACUGUUGGUAACAGAAGGGUUCAUUGUAGAGAGGGGUGGAAGUUGCACAAUGGAGGAAGUGGCCGAAGGCUAUUUAAAUGAGUUGGUUCAGAGAAACAUGCUACAGCUUAUUGAGAGAAACUCACUUGGUAGGAUAAAGCUCCUUAGAAUGCAUGAUGUUGUACGUGAGCUGGCGAUAGAUUUGUGUCACAGAGAAUGCUUUGGUGUUACAUCUGAGGAUUACAGAGGUGGGAGAUUAGUCAACGGCAUCAGCGGUGGACGUCGGCUAGUAGUCCACAAACUCAGUAAUACGACUAAUGAGUUGAUUUCAAGCAUGCACCACCUUCGAUCUGUUAUUGUAUUGGACAACAUGAUGCAGAUGUCACAACCACAAUCCAUGCUACUACUAGCUUCAGUGUUAUGCAAUUCUAGAUAUAUCACUGUACUAGAAUUAAAUGGGUUACCUAUUGAGCAGCUUCCAGAUGCAAUUGGGGAUUUGUUCAAUCUACGUCACUUGUCAUUGCGUAACUCAAGGGUAAAGUUCCUCCCCAGGUCCAUCGAGAAUCUUGUCAACUUGAUGAUACUGGAUCUAUUUAAUUCUGACAUACAGAAGUUGCCUCGAGGGAUUGCCAAACUCAAGAAGCUUAGGCACUUGUAUGCUGAGAAAAUUUGUGGUCUCUUCGAGAGAAAAUUCCCGAGUCGUAUCGCCCUGCGUUUCCCCAAGGAUGGUUUAUGCAAUCUCACAAAUCUACAGACACUGGUGGCAGUAGGAGCUGAUGAUUGCACUAUGCAUCUGUGGAAGCUUACGCAGAUGAGGACCAUUCGGUUAUGGGAUGUGAAGGGGGUCCAGUGCGAACAGCUCUGCGCAUCACUGGCUGAGAUGCAAUUCCUGUCCAGUUUAGCCAUUCAUGCAGUUGAUGAACAUCAGGUUCUCCAGUUAGACGGCCUUAAUCCACCGCCUUCUCAGCUCCAGAAGAUUUGUAUUCUUGGACGAUUGGCCGCAGGGACAAUAGAGCACUCCCCCCUCUUCCAAUUAAACUUGACGGAACUGUCUCUUCAUUGGACACAGUUGACAGAAAGUCCUGUGCCUUCCAUUACUACAAUGUCAAACUUUACAGUGUUUUGGCUUAACAGAGCAUUCAAUGGAGAGGAAUUGACUUUUCUCCCUGGAUGGUUUCCAAAGUUGAAGACCCUCUACUUGCAGGACCUGCCUAACCUCAAGAGUCUAGUGUUGCAUGAAGGCACCAUGGUGAACCUGGAAACCUUUUGGUUAGCACAACUUGAUAGAAUGUAUGGAAUGCGCUGGCAGUAUACCUUGCAACAAUGA
Molecule: ribosomal RNA, 2499 nt
Filed under: Triticum aestivum (bread wheat)
Lineage: Eukaryota; Viridiplantae; Streptophyta; Magnoliopsida; Poales; Poaceae
Description: partial small subunit ribosomal RNA
Source: RNAcentral